CCUACGGGAGGCAGCAGUAAGGAAUAUUGGUCAAUGGGCGCAAGCCUGAACCAGCCAUGCCGCGUGCAGGAAGACGGCCCUAUGGGUUGUAAACUGCUUUUGAACAAGAGAAAACCUCGGUACGUGUACCGAGCUGAUAGUAUUGUUAGAAUAAGCAUCGGCUAACUUCGUGCCAGCAGCCGCGGUAAGACGAAGGAUGCAAGCGUUAUCCGGAUUCAUUGGGUUUAAAGGGUGCGUAGGCGGCCUGAUAAGUCAGUGGUGAAAUCUCUCAGCUUAACUGAGAAACUGCCAUUGAUACUGUCGGGCUUGAGUACAGAUGAUGUGGGCGGAAUAUGACAUGUAGUGGUGAAAUACUUAGAUAUGUCAUAGAACACCGAUUGCGAAGGCAGCUCACAAAACUGUAACUGACGCUGAGGCACGAAAGUGCGGGGAUCAAACAGGUAUUAGACUACCCUGGUAGUCCGCACCGUAAACGAUGAUUACUCGUUGUUGGACAAUAUGACCGUCAGCGACCAAGCGAAAGCGAUAAGUAAUCCACCUGGGGAGUCGCCGGNAACGGUGAAACCUGAAAGGAUUGACGGNNGAGAGNGCGAGGACGACACGAGGGAGGAG
Molecule: ribosomal RNA, 612 nt
Filed under: uncultured bacterium
Lineage: Bacteria
Description: bacterial SSU rRNA
Rfam family: Bacterial small subunit ribosomal RNA
Source: RNAcentral